RNAcentral lists this ribosomal RNA (573 nucleotides) under Quambalaria pitereka. Its description in RNAcentral is "eukaryotic LSU rRNA". It matches the Rfam family "Eukaryotic large subunit ribosomal RNA", at positions 75 to 635 of the family's 3401-position model. Lineage: Eukaryota; Fungi; Basidiomycota; Exobasidiomycetes; Microstromatales; Quambalariaceae. The record is from RNAcentral.
UUCCCCUAGUAACGGCGAGUGAAGCGGGAAGAGCUCAAAUUUGAAAGCUGGCACCUUCGGUGUCCGCGUUGUAAUCUCGAGAAGUGUUUUCCGUGCUGGACCAUGUACAAGUUCCUUGGAAUAGGACGUCAUAGAGGGUGAAAAUCCCGUACUUGACAUGGACGCCCAGUGCUUUGUGAUACACUCUCCACGAGUCGAGUUGUUUGGGAAUGCAGCUCAAAAUGGGUGGUAAAUUCCAUCUAAAGCUAAAUAUUGGGGAGAGACCGAUAGCGAACAAGUACCGUGAGGGAAAGAUGAAAAGCACUUUGGAAAGAGAGUUAAACAGUACGUGAAAUUGUCGAAAGGGAAGCGCUUGAAGUUAGACAUGCUUGUCGGGAUUCAGCCUUGCUUUUGCUUGGUGUAUUUCCCGGUGUGCAGGCCAGCAUCAGUUUUGUUUGCCGGAUAAGGGUGAGAGGAAUGUGGCCCCUCGGGGUGUUAUAGCCUCUCACUGGAUACGGCGGAUGGGACUGAGGACCGCAGUGUGCCUUUAUGGCGGGCCUUCGGGCACCUUCACACUUAGGAUGCUGGCGUAAU